GGGCCGCUAGCUUAGCUAGGUAGAUCAGAGUCGGAUGUAGCCUAUAGCGCCGGGCUCUUAACCCGGUGGUCGUGGGUUCGAAUCCCACGCGGCCCGCCA
Molecule: transfer RNA, 99 nt
Filed under: Candidatus Jordarchaeales archaeon
Lineage: Archaea; Promethearchaeati; Candidatus Jordarchaeia; Candidatus Jordarchaeales
Also listed under: 1 other name
Description: tRNA-Lys
Rfam family: tRNA
About the family: Transfer RNA (tRNA) molecules are approximately 80 nucleotides in length. Their secondary structure includes four short double-helical elements and three loops (D, anti-codon, and T loops).
Source: RNAcentral